CCGGAUGGUCUAGGGGUGUGAUUUUCGCUUCGGGUGCGAGAGAUCCCAGGUUCGAAUCCCGGUUCGG
RNAcentral lists this transfer RNA (67 nucleotides) under Teladorsagia circumcincta. RNAcentral describes it as "tRNA-Pro". Lineage: Eukaryota; Metazoa; Nematoda; Chromadorea; Rhabditida; Trichostrongylidae. The record is from RNAcentral.